CCUACGGGAGGCUGCAGUGAGGAAUAUUGGUCAAUGGGCGUAAGCCUGAACCAGCCAAGUCGCGUGAGGGAUGAAGGUUCUAUGGAUUGUAAACCUCUUUUAUCAGGGAAUAAAGUGUGGGACGUGUCCUGUUUUUUAUGUAACUUAUGAAUAAGGAUCGGCUAACUCCGUGCCAGCCGGCGCGGGAAUACGGGGGAUCCGAGCGUUAUCCGGAUUUAUUGGGUUUAAAGGGUGCGUAGGCAGCCUUUGAAGGUAGGCGGUAAAGUCUGGUGGUCAACCAUAGAAGUGCCGUUGAAACUGGGAGGCUUGAGUAUGUUUGAGGCAGGCGGAAUGCGUGGUGUAGCGGUGAAAUGCUUAGAUAUCACGCAGAACCCCGAUUGCGAAGGCAGCCUGCCAAGCCAUGACUGACGCUGAUGCACGAAAGCGUGGGGAUCAAACAGGAUUAGAUACCCGGGUAGUC
This 460-nucleotide ribosomal RNA is filed under the name uncultured bacterium. Its description in RNAcentral is "partial 16S ribosomal RNA". It matches the Rfam family "Bacterial small subunit ribosomal RNA", at positions 338 to 795 of the family's 1533-position model. The record is from RNAcentral.